This 254-nucleotide ribosomal RNA is filed under the name uncultured bacterium. RNAcentral describes it as "partial 16S ribosomal RNA". It matches the Rfam family "Archaeal small subunit ribosomal RNA", at positions 474 to 727 of the family's 1478-position model. The record is from RNAcentral.
CCCCGGCGCCACAAGUGGUUAUCACGAUUAUUGGGCCUAAAGCGCUCGUAGCCGGUUUGGUGAAUCUCUUGUGAAAUUGUUCGGCUUAACCGGACAGCGUGCAGGAGACACUGCCAGACUCGAGACCGGGAGGGGUUAGAAGUAUUCCAUGGGGACUGGUAAAAUGGGAUAAUCCAUGGAAGACUACCGAUGGCGAAGGCAUCUAACCAGAACGGAUCUGACGGUGAGGAACGAAAGCCAGGGGAGCGAACCGG